This 244-nucleotide ribosomal RNA is filed under the name uncultured bacterium. Its description in RNAcentral is "partial 16S ribosomal RNA". It matches the Rfam family "Bacterial small subunit ribosomal RNA", at positions 116 to 354 of the family's 1533-position model. The record is from RNAcentral.
CGUGGGUAACCUGCCCAAGAGACUGGGAUAACACCUGGAAACAGAUGCUAAUACCGGAUAACAACACUAGACGCAUGUCUAGAGUUUAAAAGAUGGUUCUGCUAUCACUCUUGGAUGGACCCGCGGUGCAUUAGCUAGUUGGUAAGGUAACGGCUUACCAAGGCAAUGAUGCAUAGCCGAGUUGAGAGACUGAUCGGCCACAUUGGGACUGAGACACGGCCCAAACUCCUACGGGAGGCAGCAG